Molecule: transfer RNA, 66 nt
Filed under: Capra hircus (goat)
Lineage: Eukaryota; Metazoa; Chordata; Mammalia; Artiodactyla; Bovidae
Also listed under: 1 other name
Rfam family: tRNA
About the family: Transfer RNA (tRNA) molecules are approximately 80 nucleotides in length. Their secondary structure includes four short double-helical elements and three loops (D, anti-codon, and T loops). Further hydrogen bonds mediate the characteristic L-shaped molecular structure. tRNAs have two regions of fundamental functional importance: the anti-codon, which is responsible for specific mRNA codon recognition, and the 3' end, to which the tRNAs corresponding amino acid is attached (by aminoacyl-tRNA synthetases). tRNAs cope with the degeneracy of the genetic code in two manners: having more than one tRNA (with a specific anti-codon) for a particular amino acid; and 'wobble' base-pairing, i.e. permitting non-standard base-pairing at the 3rd anti-codon position.
Source: Rfam by way of RNAcentral
UCCCAGGUGGCUUAGUGGUAAAGAAUCUGCCUGCCAAGCAGGAGAUGUGGGUUCUAUCCCUGGGGU